ACUAAGCGUACACGGUGGAUGCCCUGGCAGUCAGAGGCGAUGAAGGACGUGCUAAUCUGCGAUAAGCGUCGGUAAGGUGAUAUGAACCGUUAUAACCGGCGAUUUCCGAAUGGGGAAACCCAGUGUGAUUCGUCACACUAUCAUUAACUGAAUCCAUAGGUUAAUGAGGCGAACCGGGGGAACUGAAACAUCUAAGUACCCCGAGGAAAAGAAAUCAACCGAGAUUCCCCCAGUAGCGGCGAGCGAACGGGGAGCAGCCCAGAGCCUGAAUCAGUGUGUGUGUUAGUGGAAGCGUCUGGAAAGGCGCGCGAUACAGGGUGACAGCCCCGUACACAAAAAUGCACAUACUGUGAGCUCGAUGAGUAGGGCGGGACACGUGGUAUCCUGUCUGAAUAUGGGGGGACCAUCCUCCAAGGCUAAAUACUCCUGACUGACCGAUAGUGAACCAGUACCGUGAGGGAAAGGCGAAAAGAACCCCGGCGAGGGGAGUGAAAAAGAACCUGAAACCGUGUACGUACAAGCAGUGGGAGCACGCUUCGGCGUGUGACUGCGUACCUUUUGUAUAAUGGGUCAGCGACUUAUAUUCUGUAGCAAGGUUAACCGAAUAGGGGAGCCGAAGGGAAACCGAGUCUUAACUGGGCGUUAAGUUGCAGGGUAUAGACCCGAAACCCGGUGAUCUAGCCAUGGGCAGGUUGAAGGUUGGGUAACACUAACUGGAGGACCGAACCGACUAAUGUUGAAAAAUUAGCGGAUGACUUGUGGCUGGGGGUGAAAGGCCAAUCAAACCGGGAGAUAGCUGGUUCUCCCCGAAAGCUAUUUAGGUAGCGCCUCGUGAAUUCAUCUCCGGGGGUAGAGCACUGUUUCGGCAAGGGGGUCAUCCCGACUUACCAACCCGAUGCAAACUGCGAAUACCGGAGAAUGUUAUCACGGGAGACACACGGCGGGUGCUAACGUCCGUCGUGAAGAGGGAAACAACCCAGACCGCCAGCUAAGGUCCCAAAGUCAUGGUUAAGUGGGAAACGAUGUGGGAAGGCCCAGACAGCCAGGAUGUUGGCUUAGAAGCAGCCAUCAUUUAAAGAAAGCGUAAUAGCUCACUGGUCGAGUCGGCCUGCGCGGAAGAUGUAACGGGGCUAAACCAUGCACCGAAGCUGCGGCAGCGACACUAUGUGUUGUUGGGUAGGGGAGCGUUCUGUAAGCCUGUGAAGGUGUACUGUGAGGUAUGCUGGAGGUAUCAGAAGUGCGAAUGCUGACAUAAGUAACGAUAAAGCGGGUGAAAAGCCCGCUCGCCGGAAGACCAAGGGUUCCUGUCCAACGUUAAUCGGGGCAGGGUGAGUCGACCCCUAAGGCGAGGCCGAAAGGCGUAGUCGAUGGGAAACAGGUUAAUAUUCCUGUACUUGGUGUUACUGCGAAGGGGGGACGGAGAAGGCUAUGUUGGCCGGGCGACGGUUGUCCCGGUUUAAGCGUGUAGGCUGGUUUUCCAGGCAAAUCCGGAAAAUCAAGGCUGAGGCGUGAUGACGAGGCACUACGGUGCUGAAGCAACAAAUGCCCUGCUUCCAGGAAAAGCCUCUAAGCAUCAGGUAACAUCAAAUCGUACCCCAAACCGACACAGGUGGUCAGGUAGAGAAUACCAAGGCGCUUGAGAGAACUCGGGUGAAGGAACUAGGCAAAAUGGUGCCGUAACUUCGGGAGAAGGCACGCUGAUAUGUAGGUGAAGCGACUUGCUCGUGGAGCUGAAAUCAGUCGAAGAUACCAGCUGGCUGCAACUGUUUAUUAAAAACACAGCACUGUGCAAACACGAAAGUGGACGUAUACGGUGUGACGCCUGCCCGGUGCCGGAAGGUUAAUUGAUGGGGUUAGCGGUAACGCGAAGCUCUUGAUCGAAGCCCCGGUAAACGGCGGCCGUAACUAUAACGGUCCUAAGGUAGCGAAAUUCCUUGUCGGGUAAGUUCCGACCUGCACGAAUGGCGUAAUGAUGGCCAGGCUGUCUCCACCCGAGACUCAGUGAAAUUGAACUCGCUGUGAAGAUGCAGUGUACCCGCGGCAAGACGGAAAGACCCCGUGAACCUUUACUAUAGCUUGACACUGAACAUUGAGCCUUGAUGUGUAGGAUAGGUGGGAGGCUUUGAAGUGUGGACGCCAGUCUGCAUGGAGCCGACCUUGAAAUACCACCCUUUAAUGUUUGAUGUUCUAACGUUGGCCCGUGAUCCGGGUUGCGGACAGUGUCUGGUGGGUAGUUUGACUGGGGCGGUCUCCUCCUAAAGAGUAACGGAGGAGCACGAAGGUUGGCUAAUCCUGGUCGGACAUCAGGAGGUUAGUGCAAUGGCAUAAGCCAGCUUGACUGCGAGCGUGACGGCGCGAGCAGGUGCGAAAGCAGGUCAUAGUGAUCCGGUGGUUCUGAAUGGAAGGGCCAUCGCUCAACGGAUAAAAGGUACUCCGGGGAUAACAGGCUGAUACCGCCCAAGAGUUCAUAUCGACGGCGGUGUUUGGCACCUCGAUGUCGGCUCAUCACAUCCUGGGGCUGAAGUAGGUCCCAAGGGUAUGGCUGUUCGCCAUUUAAAGUGGUACGCGAGCUGGGUUUAGAACGUCGUGAGACAGUUCGGUCCCUAUCUGCCGUGGGCGCUGGAGAACUGAGGGGGGCUGCUCCUAGUACGAGAGGACCGGAGUGGACGCAUCACUGGUGUUCGGGUUGUCAUGCCAAUGGCACUGCCCGGUAGCUAAAUGCGGAAGAGAUAAGUGCUGAAAGCAUCUAAGCACGAAACUUGCCCCGAGAUGAGUUCUCCCUGACUCCCUGAGAGUCCUGAAGGAACGUUGAAGACGACGACGUUGAUAGGCCGGGUGUGUAAGCGCAGCGAUGCGUUGAGCUAACCGGUACUAAUGAACCGUGAGGCUUAACC
Molecule: ribosomal RNA, 2894 nt
Filed under: Escherichia coli NCCP 15653
Lineage: Bacteria; Pseudomonadati; Pseudomonadota; Gammaproteobacteria; Enterobacterales; Enterobacteriaceae
Description: bacterial LSU rRNA
Rfam family: Bacterial large subunit ribosomal RNA
Source: RNAcentral